This 335-nucleotide long non-coding RNA is filed under the name Elaeis guineensis (African oil palm). RNAcentral describes it as "long non-coding RNA (EGUI_LNC028761)". Lineage: Eukaryota; Viridiplantae; Streptophyta; Magnoliopsida; Arecales; Arecaceae. The record is from RNAcentral.
GCUGGGGGCUAGGAUGCCUCUCAUGAGAAGGUUGUGGCCAGACUGUAACGACAUCCAAGAGGAGGGCAUGAGUCUGAAGUCAGCUGAGCCUAUGGUCAUAAGAGAUGGGGUAGGUCAUCAAGGUAAGGGGGGUACUAGUGCAAGUCCCUCUCCUUAUGUGUCCUCCCCAUAAAGAUGCUGAUCUAGAAUACCUGGGGGGUGGAGAAGCCCUCUUUCCGAUCGACCCUUGGCCAGUUGAUUCAGCAGAAUAGCCCUGACAUUUGUGUCUUAUAUUUUUGGGCCGAGCCUGGCCAGGGCCAGACGGUGGAUUUCGAUGGCAUGGAGCACUUACACAG